Long non-coding RNA from Chelonia mydas (Green sea turtle), 857 nucleotides. RefSeq lists it as uncharacterized. Lineage: Eukaryota; Metazoa; Chordata; Testudines; Cheloniidae. The transcript has 3 exons. The record is from RefSeq and is a predicted model, not a curated record.
AACCCAGAAUGAUGGUGGUUUUUUGUUUUCUUUUGCACCAAUAUUACAUUGUUGACUCUUACUUAGUUUGUAAUGCAUUAUAACCCCCAGAUCCUUUGCUGCAGUACUGCUUCCUAGGCAGACAUUUCCUGUUUUGUAUUUAUGCAACUGAAUAUUUCUUUCUAAGUAUAGUACUUGGCAUUUGUCCUAAUUCAUUAUCCUAACUAACUGAAUUUCAUCCUAUUUAUUUCAGACCAUUUCUCCAGUUUGUCAAGAUCAUUUUGAAUUCUAAUCUUGUCCUCCAAAGCACUUGCAACCCCUCCGAACUUGGUAUCACCUGCAAACUUUCAACUGAUCUUUGGUAUGAGAGACCAGGGGUGCCACAUUUCCACAAUAAAGGGACCUCAAAGGGUCAGGACCUCACUCUUACAUCUCCUCAGAAAAAUGGCAAUUCCAACCAAACAAUACCACUUCACACCUUGCUGGCUGGCCACUGAUUCAGAACUGAGUCACAGAGAAAAUGGCUCAAUUCUGGUUCACCUGUACUACUUCUUCCAGCUCCUGAACUUUUUUUUAAAGGUAUCCCUUCCAGGUAUGUAGUAACCUGUCCCUCCUUAGUCUAGAACAGUGAUCACCAACCUAUCGAUUGCGAUCGACUGGUCGAUCCUAGAGACUCUCCCGGUUGAUCCCGAUCUCUGGUGGUGUGGCGGGGCUGCCGCUAAGGCAGGUUCCCUGCCUGCCCCGGCCCCACGCCGCUCCCGGAAGCAACCAGCACAGCCCUGCGGCCCCAUGGAGGGGCAGGGGUCUCCGCGUGCUGCUCCUGCCUUCAAGCACUGUCCCCACAGCUCCCGUUGUCCGGGAACGGCCAAUGGGAGCUG